ACAAAGACAAUCCGUUGAAACCUCUUUAGAACAGUACAACAGGAGACCAUUGCGCGCGUACUCUUUUGGCCCAAGAUUUCUUAAUUGAACUAACGCUUGAGAAAACGUUUCCAAGAAUUUUUUUUGUUGUAGCUUACUAAACAAUCAAUUGAUAGAAUUACGCAACCGGCAAAAAAAAUUACUUUUCCUCCUUUUUUUCUUGAGAUUCCAGUAAAGCAUUGUUUAACUGCCGAAAGUUUACAAAAACAAUUACCUUAUGGUAUUCUAUCAAUUUUUGUCGUUCCAACUCCUCUUCUUUACUUUGUUCUAAACGAACACAAUGUUCUUGCAAUUUUUGAUUCAUUUCUAGCUCUUUGUGUUUUUUCUUGAAAAAAUAUUAUAAAUUUUGGUGUGAAAAGUUAGGUUCAAGCUCAUCUUGAUAGGUAGCGUAUAAUAAGUCAAAUUGAUGUAAAAAUGUCUGAAUUAAAUUCAUUGAGAAAUAAA
Molecule: long non-coding RNA, 483 nt
Organism: Hylaeus volcanicus
Lineage: Eukaryota; Metazoa; Arthropoda; Insecta; Hymenoptera; Colletidae
Exons: 3
Source: RefSeq, a predicted model, not a curated record